ACUGUUUGGACUGGUAUUGUGAUAAUAAUUAUUAAAAUUCGAGAUUACAUGUUCGUUGCAUAAGUGCGUCAGGUGGUGUCUGUAUUUAAUUGAAUAUAACCGUUCCUGAUCUGAGGUUUGUAUGUAUUUCUGUCACGUAGUGUUAUCGUUUUAACGAUAUUUGUUAACAUUUUCAUAUAAGCGGGAGGUUUGGCUAGCCAUAAAACCAGGUUAAGUCAAUGUCCUGUACCAAGAAAGGAAUAUGGCAGUUGAUAUCAAAUAGUUCGUUUCUACAUAUGUUAGCGGUUUUGUUUUGCAAUUCAGUGUAUCUGUUAUACCUUUGUUUUUCUUCUUAUAGUUGAUGUAUUUUCCUCGUAUUUAUGGCCCGGAUUUUUUCUCUUGGUUGAUUUAUGACUUUUGAACACCGGUAUAUUAUUUGCCUGAGGUUUACAGUAGAUUCCCAAAAAUUU
RNAcentral lists this long non-coding RNA (449 nucleotides) under Mytilus galloprovincialis (Mediterranean mussel). The record is from RNAcentral. Lineage: Eukaryota; Metazoa; Mollusca; Bivalvia; Mytilida; Mytilidae.